CAGACACUUAACCGCUGUGCCACCCAGGCGCCCCUACUCAUAGAGCUUUUUAUGAAAUCCAGUUCGUGAAUCUCUCAAUGCAAGUGGGAUGGCUGGAAAGACUAGUGGCAGAUACGCUACUUUUCUGUUCAGGGAAGACUUCUCUGGUGAGAUAAGGAGAAGGCAGAGGUGUGAACGAAGGUGAGAAGUGGGCUGUCAGACAUCUCCACGAAGGAGCUUUCCAGAUGGAGGGAGCAGGAGGGAUGGAGGCAGAAGCGCCCUCGGUCUGUUUGAGGAAUAGAAGAGACGAAACAGGAAAGAACCCCAUUUGCAAGUCUCCAAAGGAAUUGCAUCUGCUAAUACCCUGGCCAAAGGAAGCCUCACAGACAACCUCGAAUCAAAGGAUGAAGUCAAUGGGUUCACAAUGCACGUGAUUUUUAGCAAUUUAUGCGUUUGGCUUGUUCGUAGGCGUUUGGGCUUUUGGGUGGACUUCUGGAGAUCCGUGAGCGCACAGGAACGAGUGGGACCGGCCUGCAGUCUUCGAUCUUUCACCGCCGGUUUGCUCCGAUAGUAAGACUAUACUGCUCCUGGGGCACCUGAUGCUGAGAUCAAGCCCCACUUGGGCUCUGCACUCAGCUCAGAGUGGAGUCUGCCUGCCCCUCUCCCUCCCCCC
Molecule: long non-coding RNA, 652 nt
Filed under: Ursus maritimus (polar bear)
Lineage: Eukaryota; Metazoa; Chordata; Mammalia; Carnivora; Ursidae
Description: lncRNA (ENSUMAG00000009344.1)
Source: RNAcentral